This 1386-nucleotide long non-coding RNA is filed under the name Oncorhynchus kisutch (coho salmon). RNAcentral's name for it is "lncRNA (ENSOKIG00005002765.1)". Lineage: Eukaryota; Metazoa; Chordata; Actinopteri; Salmoniformes; Salmonidae. The record is from RNAcentral.
CGACACGUGACUCUGUAACCAAAAUCAAGUAUGGCGGAAUCUGUCAGAAAAUGAUUAUUUCGCCAGUAGACUUCCCUAGUGGUAAAGUCAACAUAUUUAUUCUGCAUCUUUCUCCGUACAGGGCCGCCUCUUGGAGCUUCUAGUGUUUUUUUUUUUAAAGGCUGGUACAAGUGAGCGGGUGUCUCUGAUUGGAUUACCUGAACAGUAGGCUGUAAGGUGGAGGACUGUUUCCUGUUGCUGACCAGUGAAGACACUUGUGGGUGGUUGUGUUUCCUGUUGCUGAUCAGUGAAGACACUUGUGGGUGGUUGUGUUUCCUGUUGCUGACCAGUGAAGACACUUGUGGGUGGUUGUGUUUCCUGUUGCUGACCAGUGAAGACACUUGUGGGUGGUUGUGUUUCCUGUUGCUGAUCAGUGAAGAGACCUGUGGGUGAUUGUGUUUCCUGCUGAGGAGUACUGUGGCCCUGAUCUUGGUACACAUCAGACCAGCCCCCUUCCCUACACACACACUAACCCCCCCGACCCACCCACACACACUCCACCUAUCCCGUCGUCCUCCUCUCCAGGCCGUAUAUUUUACAACUUCACUGUGGAUUCUCCAAGGACCAUCCUGUUAACAAUGACAUCACACAGUCACCAAGAAGGACUCCUGGGCAAGGAGCAGCAGCUGGAUGUCCUGAAGACGUCUGCCCUCAACCACAUCCCCACAGGUAGGAGACCAACACAUUACCUGUCUGUCUUUCAUUAUGUGACUGAAUGUUGACCGUUGUCUUUAGAAUGUGUGUUUUUUAAGGUCUGUCUGUCACACAAAGCUAAGAGGAAAGCAAUCCGGCUUUCUUGGUGGAGAAACGUUAUGUGUAGUAAAACUGAUAAGAAUGCAGAAGUAAUUUCAUAAAAAAAACAUUUGCGGGGUGUGAUGUAUAGCUUCAGAUUAAACUAAAUCGUUUACAGUCAUGACUACUGGUUUCAAUUUAAUUUGCAGUAAAUACUUUAUGAAUUUAUUGUAACAAAUCAGCUUGCAAGGUUGCUAGCCAACUAGCCUGCUAAUGUUAGCACUACUAGCUUGCUAAUGUUACAUUAGCACUGGGUAAGCACUGGGUCAGUCCCUUCAAAGGGAUAGUCGGAUACACUAUACACACACACACACACACACACAGUACCAGUCAAAAGUUUGGACACACCUAUCAUUCAAGUGUUUUAUUUUAUUUGGACUAUUUUUCUACAUUUUAGAAUAAUAGUGAAAACAUCAAAACUAUGAAAUAACACAUAUGGAAUCAUGUAGUAACCAAAAAAGUGUUAAAUCAAAAUAUAUUUUAGAUUCUUCAAAGUAGCCACCCUUUGCCUUGAUGACAGCUUUUCACACUCUUGGCGUUCUCUCAACCAGCUUC